This 75-nucleotide transfer RNA is filed under the name Bacillus thuringiensis. RNAcentral's name for it is "tRNA-Val". Lineage: Bacteria; Bacillati; Bacillota; Bacilli; Caryophanales; Bacillaceae. The record is from RNAcentral.
GGAGGAUUAGCUCAGCUGGGAGAGCACCUGCCUUACAAGCAGGGGGUNAGAAUAUAAAAAACUUGUUGACUUUCA